GGGCUUCAAACUCCAGGAAAAUCUACGCUAUCUCUGACACUGACUUUGUGGAGUUCCAGAAUGGAAGAUGACCUAAAGUAAGUAGAAGGUCCCAAGCAGAAGAGGUCAUUUCUAAUAUGGACCACCUGAAAAAAGCUGCAGAGAGCCUCCCAGACAUCACUUCAUCUGUAAACCAGCUGUUUGAGCUUGCAAAGGCCAAAAGCGCAGUGGCAAAAUCUCUAACUAUGACUCCUAUAAAGGACGCCUUCACCUGUAUGAUCUGUAGAGCUGUGAUGAAGCAACCUAUGGUUUCCACCUGCUGUGAGUCUCUGCUUGGAUGCCAAACAUGUGUAGAGCAGUGGUUGACAACUUCUGAUCUUUGUCUUUCCCUUUCCUGCAAGAUGGGACAAUGCAAUAAUAUUUAAAGAGUUAGUGAUAGAUUAGGACUGCACCAUUAAUCACAUCCUAAUUGUAAUCAUGAUUUUGAUCAUGAUUAACCUGAUUAUUAAUCUCAUUUUUGCCCUCUAGUGUAUUUAAUCAGUUAGCCUUUAAAUAAUUCAAAAAUCGUGGGAUAUUUUUUAUUUAUAUAUAUAAUUCUAAUUUAAAACCUAAUUUUGCAC
RNAcentral lists this long non-coding RNA (599 nucleotides) under Gouania willdenowi (blunt-snouted clingfish). Its description in RNAcentral is "lncRNA (ENSGWIG00000002720.1)". Lineage: Eukaryota; Metazoa; Chordata; Actinopteri; Blenniiformes; Gobiesocidae. The record is from RNAcentral.